This 94-nucleotide microRNA precursor is filed under the name Branchiostoma floridae (Florida lancelet). RNAcentral's name for it is "mir-2060 microRNA precursor family". It matches the Rfam family "mir-2060 microRNA precursor family". The record is from Rfam by way of RNAcentral. Lineage: Eukaryota; Metazoa; Chordata; Leptocardii; Amphioxiformes; Branchiostomatidae.
GUUUGCAUGUGUAUAGAUAGUGCUCAGCACUAAGAACAGGUCUGUGUCCUAGUAUGUGGAUAGUGUUCAGCACCAAGGACAGGUCUGUUUGUCU